GAUGAAGAACGCAGCGAAAUGCGAUAAGUAAUGUGAAUUGCAGAAUUCAGUGAAUCAUCGAAUCUUUGAACGCACCUUGCGCUCCUUGGUAUUCCGAGGAGCAUGCCUGUUUGAGUGUCAGUUUAUUCUCAACCCCUCCAGCUUAUGUGGUUGGUUUUGGUGGCUUGGAUGUGGAGGUCUGCAGGUGCCCUAUGAAGGUGUCUGCUCCUCUGAAAUGCAUUAGCGGAACCGUUUGCAAUCCGUGACCGGUGUGAUAAUUAUCUACACCAGUGGAUUGCUCUCUGCUUGUUCAGCUUAUAACAUAUUAUUUGUAUGAUGAACCUUUGACCUCAAAUCAGGUAGGAAUACCCGCUGAACUUAAGCAUAUCAAUAAGCGGAGGA
This 381-nucleotide unclassified non-coding RNA is filed under the name soil metagenome. RNAcentral's name for it is "partial contains 5.8S ribosomal RNA, internal transcribed spacer 2, and large subunit ribosomal RNA". The stretch from base 1 to 120 matches the Rfam family "5.8S ribosomal RNA", at positions 35 to 154 of the family's 154-position model. The record is from RNAcentral.